RNAcentral lists this ribosomal RNA (449 nucleotides) under uncultured bacterium. RNAcentral describes it as "bacterial SSU rRNA". It matches the Rfam family "Bacterial small subunit ribosomal RNA", at positions 329 to 795 of the family's 1533-position model. The record is from RNAcentral.
GUCCAGACUCCUACGGGAGGCAGCAGUGGGGAAUAUUGCACAAUGGGGGAAACCCUGAUGCAGCAACGCCGCGUGAGGGAAGACGGUUUUCGGAUUGUAAACCUCUGUCAUCGGUGACGAAAAGGACGGUAGCCGAUGAGGAAGCUCCGGCUAACUACGUGCCAGCAGCCGCGGUAAUACGUAGGGGGCAAGCGUUAUCCGGAUUUACUGGGUGUAAAGGGAGCGUAGACGGCGGGGCAAGUCUGGAGUGAAAGGCCGGGGCCCAACCCCGGGACCGCUCUGGAAACUGCCCGGCUGGAGUGCGGGAGAGGUAAGCGGAAUUCCUAGUGUAGCGGUGAAAUGCGUAGAUAUUAGGAGGAACACCAGCGGCGAAGGCGGCUUACUGGACCGUGACUGACGUUGAGGCUCGAAAGCGUGGGGAGCAAACAGGAUUAGAUACCCUUGUAUCC